Sorex araneus (European shrew) is the source of this 1730-nucleotide long non-coding RNA. RefSeq lists it as uncharacterized. Lineage: Eukaryota; Metazoa; Chordata; Mammalia; Eulipotyphla; Soricidae. The transcript is spliced from 3 exons. The record is from RefSeq and is a predicted model, not a curated record.
UAGUCUGAAUCUAAGUCUUCUAUCCUUCCCUGGGGCCUCUCAAUCAGCUGGGACUGGGUCAUCUCCCUUGGAGAAUAUGCUUGAGUGUGUCAGAGUGAGCAGGCAUGUGUGUGAAGCUGGCAGAGACAGAGGGACAGAGGAAAAAAUAAAAAUAAGCAACCUGCAAAUUGACUCUCAGCUCCUUCAGCAACAGGAAAGAAAAACUUCACGUUUCCUAACAGAGAUGACAGACCAGAGCAUAUAAAUGAAUCUAAUUUAGAUGAAUCUAAAUGUUAUUGGGAAGAAAAUGCUGCUCGCUGAGUGUCUUCUAAUGAUGCCAGAAGAAAGAAGAGAAAGAAGCCUUUUGGUUUGGGUGUUGGGACAUCAUUCAUGAAGGUCAACUGGAUGCAGCUGAUGUAUGAGACCUCAUUGGAAAGAUGCUAUAGCUGUGAAAAUGCUGUAAAAUUCAUGACAGAUUGGGGACAAUAUAUGAAGUGCUAGUUAAUGGAUAAAAAUAAGGUCUACUUUAUAAAAUCACUUGUGUCAGAUGCUUAAGUUGUUCACAAGAGUGUCAAGAAGGAUCAAUAAUGGACAGAAAAUGCCAAUCAUCAAACAGAUAAAACUUUCAAUAUCCAAGACUUUAAGUGAAUAUCAGUUGAAGAGCAAUGACUUCAUAGAAACAUCAAGCCUUUCAGUCAUUCAGAAGAAAUUAGAGACUAGUUUUAAAAAUCAUCAUAUUGUCUUUUUCUUUUUAUUUAUUAAUUCAAAGAUGCUGCUAAGAGAUGUAAUUUCUCUGUGUUUCUUUACUAUCUACUUCUCUCAUAAACACACACUAUAUGAGGGUUUAUUCUUAAAUUGAACAGAAAAAUACAGAGAUAGAAAUUAUAAAUAGACACAUGGUUCAUUUUGUAUUUGUAUAUUUUAUGAAAUUCAUGAAUUUCAUGUAGUAACCAACCUCUUCGCAAUUACUUGGUGUUGUUGAAUUCUAUUUGCUAAUAUUUUGUUGAGGAUCUUCGCAUCAGUGUUUAUCAGAGAUAUUGGUCUAUAGUUUUCUUUCUUAAUGGUGUCUUUGUUUGCUUUUGGUAUUAGGGAGACAUGUGCCUCAUAGAAACUGUUUGGGAGAGUUCCUGUUUCUUCAAUCCCUGGAAAAGCUUGAGAAGAAGUGGCAACAGGUCCUCUUUAAAUGUUUGGAAGAAUUCGCUAGUGAAUCCAUCUGGACCUGGGCUUUUGUUUUUGGGAAGACUUUUGAUUACAGUUUCAAUUUCCUUGAUAUAAAUGGGUCUAUUCAGGUAUUCCAAAUCUUGGUUCAGUCUUGGGGGCAAUUACUUUGGGAACGUAAAGCCUGUCAAUAACCCUAUCUCGAAGACUACUGGUAUACCUCUUUGGCAUAAAUGCUUUAAUAAAUCACUUGGAUCUCUGUUUUCAAAGCUCAAAUCUGCACCUGUAGACUGACUUCAUUUCAAUAGAACUAUUUGUUUCAUAGAAAAAUUACAUAUAAAGACAGUUAAAUAAGUCCAUAAACUAAGGGUCAAUCCUUAAUUCAGAGAAUUCCUAGUUCUGCAGAACUAUUUUCAGCAAAUAAUCUCUUAUUACAGCAAUGAACAGUAGAACAUCAUCCCAUUGUUCAUCAAUUUGCUUGAAUGGGCACCAGUAAUGUCUCCAUUGUGAGGCUUGUUACUGUUUUUGGCAUAUAAAUACACCACGGAUAGCUUGCCAGGCUGUUUCAUAAACUUUCUAUUAUAAGCAAAAUU